GACAGAGGUGCCGAGCGUUAGGCGGAAUCACUGGGCUUAAAGCGUGUGUAGGCGGGUCGUUAAGUACCUUGUGAAAUCCCCCGGCUCAACCGGGGAAUGGCUGGGUAUACUGGCGAUCUUGAGCGAUCCAGGGGCAGAUGGAACAAGUGGUGGAGCGGUGAAAUGCGUAGAUAUCACUUGGAACGCCAAAGGUGAAGACAGUCUGCUGGGGAUCUGCUGACGCUGAGACACGAGAACCAGGGGAGCGAACGGG
RNAcentral lists this ribosomal RNA (253 nucleotides) under uncultured bacterium. RNAcentral's name for it is "partial 16S ribosomal RNA". It matches the Rfam family "Bacterial small subunit ribosomal RNA", at positions 524 to 776 of the family's 1533-position model. The record is from RNAcentral.